GAUUUAUACAGAAGUGGCGAGAGAACAGGCUCCCUGACCCACUGGCAACCUUCGACCGCGCGAAAGGUGCCAAUUCCUGCCCGACCAGCUUGUACGAACCGUACGGCGGCGGGGCAUAUAACUC
RNAcentral lists this non-coding RNA (124 nucleotides) under Hymenobacter sp. RNAcentral describes it as "SAM-I sequence". It matches the Rfam family "SAM riboswitch aptamer (S box leader)". From Rfam's summary of the family: The SAM riboswitch is found upstream of a number of genes which code for proteins involved in methionine or cysteine biosynthesis in Gram-positive bacteria. The SAM riboswitch acts at the level of transcription termination control. The record is from RNAcentral. Lineage: Bacteria; Pseudomonadati; Bacteroidota; Cytophagia; Cytophagales; Hymenobacteraceae.